This 388-nucleotide long non-coding RNA is filed under the name Parus major (Great Tit). RNAcentral's name for it is "lncRNA (ENSPMJG00000019759.1)". Lineage: Eukaryota; Metazoa; Chordata; Aves; Passeriformes; Paridae. The record is from RNAcentral.
AUCAACCUCAGGAGGUUCAGAAGUUCACUCAUAACCUGCAGAAGAGCAGGACUGUGGGCCCAGGCACAUGUGGUGGCCCAUCAGCUCUGAGUCCUUUCUCUGCAUCCUUGGCCAGUGGGGCUUCAUAUUCAAAGGUCUCCAAGGAGCGACAAGGCAAGGAUGUGGCCCAGGUUUGCAGGAAAAUUUGCCAUGCCUGGGUCAUGUGGAUAUCUGAAGCAGGCUGCCCUCCUUUCCAUCUCUUCAGUGCUAAGCAAUGAUCAGCACCCCAUGAAGUUUGGAGAGGAAAUAUACAUAAAGCCUGCGGAGCGUGUUUUCAGACCUGUCCUUAGACAUGACAUUUGCAGAUGAAAUGAUACAUCACUGGACCACACAGUUAUCACAAUCAGCA